Molecule: transfer-messenger RNA, 390 nt
Filed under: bacterium
Lineage: Bacteria
Rfam family: transfer-messenger RNA
About the family: Bacterial tmRNA, also known as 10Sa RNA or SsrA, is named for its dual tRNA and mRNA-like properties.
Source: RNAcentral
GGGGGCGAUCUGGGUUCGACAGGGAGGUAAAUCCCGGGAAGAGGCAUGCCGGGGUUGCCGGGAGGCCCCGUCCCGAGGUAAACUCGGGAUCCCGAUCUGGAAUCGGGAUAAAAACCCGGCAAAAAAAUAAACGCCGACUGCGUGAACGCUCUGGCUGCAUAAGAUGCAGCCACAUCCUCUUCACCUUGCCUGCGGGUGAAGAAGGGUGUCGGUAGCAGGCUCUCCUUGUCUUCCCUGCUCCGGGGGAGAUAAGGGAAAAAUCACCGGAGCUGGUCCCUCCCUCUCUGUCCAGGGGAGAGUGAGGGAUGAGAUAAAUCCCUGGACUAAGCAUGUAGUUAUCUUCCCGGGAUAACUCUCUGGACGCGGGUUCAAUUCCCGCCGCCUCCACCC